Molecule: long non-coding RNA, 1191 nt
Organism: Anthonomus grandis grandis
Lineage: Eukaryota; Metazoa; Arthropoda; Insecta; Coleoptera; Curculionidae
Exons: 3
Source: RefSeq, a predicted model, not a curated record
AACAAUAAUUAAUUUUCUUGGUAGUUUUAAAUUUUUUUGAAAUUAAUUUUAAAAGGGCUUGUUUUUUGAAAUAUCAUUUAAAAAGAUAUUAAGUAAGAAACCGCCUUUAUUUAUUAUUGGAUGCAGUAUUUUUUUAGGUUUUUUUUUUAGGUUAAAGCAGGAAAAAAAUUAACAUGCCGCACUUUAAAAUUUUAUCGAAACGUCAAAUUCAAAGAAAAAUUAAAUCAAAAGCAACUUUGUUAUUGCAACAAGGUUUGCCCACGAAUAGUGAUAAUGAAACUAAUAUCCCUUCUAUUCCAUUAUUGCCAAAAAACUGCAGUGAAAAUAUAACUACACCUUUAAACAUUGUAACCCCAAAGAUUUGUUUAGAGCCCAAUGCAUCCUGUUCUAAAUUUAAUGAAAAUAGUUUGAAUGAGGAAAAUAAUUUAGAAUUCUUGGAAACUGGAUCAACUUUUGAUUUUGAUUCUGUCACUGACUCGUCUGAGGACAACGUAAAUGAUGAUGGUAGUAAAAAUGUAGUUUCCUUGUUAAGCCAAUGGGCUUUUCAAAAUAAUAUUACGAGUACUGCAACUACUCAACCUUUAUGCAUCUUAAAACCUCUUAUAAAAGAUCUUCCUAGUGAUUAUCGUAAAUUAUUACAAACACCACGGGCAACUGUUGCCGAAAUUUUAGCUAAUGGAAAAUUGCUUUAGAAAAAUUAAUUGCCCCUGAAAAUUUACCAUCUUUUCCUCUUAAGUCCAUGGAUGAAUUUUCAGGUUUUGAAAAUUUAAUAAAAGAGGACUCGACCGUCAAACAAUAUAUGGUACGUCGAUUAGCUGCUUUGGGAGGAUCCAAGGUUGAGGCAAUAACAAGACGUAUUAUGAAAUUUCUACUUACUAAUGAGGUAGGGAACCAAUUUAAUUGGAAGGGUCGCCAUAACAAAGUUAGUUUUGAAACCACUGCCAGUAUGGCUAUUGUUUACGAGGCCGCCAGGCUUAAUUUUCCUAUGGCCGAAAAAAACGAUUUAAAGGUAGCAUGGGGCGUAAAGGAGUGGCUAAAGCAUUCAGCCACGCGCAUAAAACAUGGUGAAAGGAUUUAAAUAUUUGCUUCAUCUAUAGGUUACGACGUUUCUGUAAAUGUACAUGUUAUAAACCUUCUUUUUUCUUAAAAAUUAGUUCAGUUGCGUUUAGUCUUAAACAUUGAUUGAGUUAU